RNAcentral lists this long non-coding RNA (1002 nucleotides) under Prunus dulcis (almond). RNAcentral's name for it is "sRNA ncRNA". The record is from RNAcentral. Lineage: Eukaryota; Viridiplantae; Streptophyta; Magnoliopsida; Rosales; Rosaceae.
CAAAAAGCCAACAGAAGUAUCUCUGUAUAUAUAAGUUGUAUGGAGGAGGAGGGGACUUGAAUUACUCUAAGACUCCUUCCAUUGCAUUCUUAUCCUUAGCUCUCUUAGAAUGAGUAUGGUUAACCAUCCAUGUCCACCAAAUGGUGACAAAGAAAAGAGAGAUAACAUGGAGAAAAGAAAACAGGAGUUGCAAACUAUCAUUGAGAAGGAGGAUGAUCGAGUAAAUCAACUUCAAACAAGCGCCUUCAGCCUUGCAAACUACUACUUCGUCUUUCAAGGAAUUAUUUUGGGGGCUAUCCUCACUGCCACCACAGCGCUCAGAUGCUCAGAUCGCUGGUUCCUUUUCAGCCUCUCUCUGAUAGCAGCCAUACUCAACUUGGUUUCCUUGCUUGUAAUUGGAAGCAAUUAUAAAAGAAGCGUCAUGCAGAGACACCAAACCAAGAGUGAGCUCAUUGAAUUGGAAAGUGAUCUGAGAAAGCUAGAAACUUCACCUUCAGAUCAAAGGCUCAAAACUAAAAUAUUAACCUACUGGGAUACGACAAAGAUUCAACAUCCUCAACAUCCUACGGCCGUAGAAAUUAAGGAUGAACUGGAAGUAAGGCAUAGAAGGAGGGUCAUUCCUGUUGUUACAAAUUAUCUACGUGAGUUCUACUUCGUACUUUGCAUGGGUCUAUUUAUAAUCUUUGCCGUCAUCGUGAUUGUGGGUUGCUGGACCAUUCCUUGCAAGGAAACUCUUCAAUGCACACCCCCGAUAUCGAACGCCAGCGGUGAUAAAUGUAUUAGGGUUUGUGAAGGUGCCAAGUGUAUGAGCAUCUGCGCCCAAUUCUAGGGCUUCAAGUUCAACAGUUAUAGCUUUGAGCUAGGGAUAUCCAAUCCAAGUAGAUUGGAACCACAAUAAAGUUUACCAUAUUUUAAUGCUCGUUAUUUAAUCUAUAAUGGUUUAUAUGAUUUUGUGUUUGCAUACAUUAUUUCAAAAAUAAGACUUUCUGGAUGUUAUUAAAG